This 253-nucleotide ribosomal RNA is filed under the name uncultured bacterium. Its description in RNAcentral is "partial 16S ribosomal RNA". It matches the Rfam family "Bacterial small subunit ribosomal RNA", at positions 524 to 776 of the family's 1533-position model. The record is from RNAcentral.
UACAGAGGGUGCAAGCGUUAAUCGGAAUUACUGGGCGUAAAGCGUGCGUAGACGGUUAUGUAAGUCGGGUGUGAAAGCCCCGGGCUCAACCUGGGAAUGCCAUUCGAGACUGCAUAGCUAGGGUACGGAAGAGGGAAGCGGAAUUUCCGGUGUAGCGGUGAAAUGCGUAGAUAUCGGAAGGAACACCAGUGGCGAAAGCGGCUUCCUGGUCCAGCACCGACGUUCAGGCACGAAAGCGUGGGGAGCAAACAGG